This 71-nucleotide transfer RNA is filed under the name Phrynosoma platyrhinos (Desert horned lizard). RNAcentral's name for it is "tRNA-OTHER". Lineage: Eukaryota; Metazoa; Chordata; Lepidosauria; Squamata; Phrynosomatidae. The record is from RNAcentral.
GCUAGUGUGGCAUAGUGGUUUGAGUGUUGGACUAUGACUCUGGAGACCAGGGUUUGAGACCCAGUUUGGCC